UCCGAAGGGUGCAAGCGUUACUCGGAAUUACUGGGCGUAAAGCGUGCGUAGGUGGUUUGUUAAGUCUGUUGUGAAAGCCCCGGGCUCAACCUGGGAAUGGCAAUGGAUACUGGCAAGCUAGAGUGCGGUAGAGGGUAGUGGAAUUCCCGGUGUAGCGGUGAAAUGCGGAGAGAUCGGGAGGAACACCAGUGGCGAAGGCGGCUACCUGGGACGUUACUGACGCUGAGACGCGAAAGCGUGGGGAGCAAACAGG
RNAcentral lists this ribosomal RNA (253 nucleotides) under uncultured bacterium. RNAcentral's name for it is "partial 16S ribosomal RNA". It matches the Rfam family "Bacterial small subunit ribosomal RNA", at positions 524 to 776 of the family's 1533-position model. The record is from RNAcentral.